Molecule: ribosomal RNA, 429 nt
Filed under: Chloroflexota bacterium
Lineage: Bacteria; Bacillati; Chloroflexota
Description: Chloroflexi bacterium partial 16S ribosomal RNA
Rfam family: Bacterial small subunit ribosomal RNA
Source: RNAcentral
UGGGGAAUAUUGCACAAUGGGCGCAAGCCUGAUGCAGCCAUGCCGCGUGUAUGAAGAAGGCCUUCGGGUUGUAAAGUACUUUCAGCGGGGAGGAAGGGAGUAAAGUUAAUACCUUUGCUCAUUGACGUUACCCGCAGAAGAAGCACCGGCUAACUCCGUGCCAGCAGCCGCGGUAAUACGGAGGGUGCAAGCGUUAAUCGGAAUUACUGGGCGUAAAGCGCACGCAGGCGGUUUGUUAAGUCAGAUGUGAAAUCCCCGGGCUCAACCUGGGAACUGCAUCUGAUACUGGCAAGCUUGGGUCUCGUAGAGGGGGGUAGAAUUCCAGGUGUAGCGGUGAAAUGCGUAGAGAUCUGGAGGAAUACCGGUGGCGAAGGCGGCCCCCUGGACGAAGACUGACGCUCAGGUGCGAAAGCGUGGGGAGCAAACAGG